RNAcentral lists this ribosomal RNA (1954 nucleotides) under Klebsiella pneumoniae. RNAcentral's name for it is "bacterial LSU rRNA". It matches the Rfam family "Bacterial large subunit ribosomal RNA", at positions 3 to 1993 of the family's 2925-position model. The record is from RNAcentral. Lineage: Bacteria; Pseudomonadati; Pseudomonadota; Gammaproteobacteria; Enterobacterales; Enterobacteriaceae.
UCAAGUAAUUAAGUGCAUGUGGUGGAUGCCUUGGCAGUCAGAGGCGAUGAAAGACGUGAUAGCCUGCGAAAAGCUCCGGGGAGGCGGCAAAUAUCCUUUGAUCCGGAGAUGUCUGAAUGGGGGAACCCACCUACUUUAAGGUAGGUAUUGCAACAUGAAUACAUAGUGUUGCAAGGCGAACGAGGGGAAGUGAAACAUCUCAGUACCCUUAGGAAAAGAAAUCAAUUGAGAUUCCCUCAGUAGCGGCGAGCGAACGGGGAUCAGCCCAUUAAGUUAUGUGUGUUUUAGUGGAACGCUCUGGGAAGUGCGAACGUAGAGGGUGAUAUUCCCGUACACGAAAGGGCACACAUAAUGAUGACGAGUAGGGCGAGGCACGUGAAACCUUGUCUGAAUAUGGGGGGACCAUCCUCCAAGGCUAAAUACUCCUGACUGACCGAUAGUGAACCAGUACCGUGAGGGAAAGGCGAAAAGAACCCCUGUGAGGGGAGUGAAAUAGAUCCUGAAACCGCAUGCAUACAAGCAGUGGGAGCACCUUCGUGGUGUGACUGCGUACCUUUUGUAUAAUGGGUCAGCGACUUAUAUUCAGUAGCGAGGUUAACCGUAUAGGGGAGCCGUAGAGAAAUCGAGUCUUAAUAGGGCGUUUAGUUGCUGGGUAUAGACCCGAAACCAGGCGAUCUAUCCAUGAGCAGGUUGAAGGUUGGGUAACACUAACUGGAGGACCGAACCCACUGUCGUUGAAAAGCCAGGGGAUGACUUGUGGAUAGGGGUGAAAGGCUAAUCAAGCCUGGUGAUAGCUGGUUCUCCCCGAAAGCUAUUUAGGUAGCGCCUCGGACGAAUACCAUAGGGGGUAGAGCACUGUUUCGGCUAGGGGGUCAUCCCGACUUACCAAACCGAUGCAAACUCCGAAUACCUAUGAGUACUAUCCGGGAGACAGACUGCGGGUGCUAACGUCCGUAGUCAAGAGGAAAACAAUCCAGACCGCCAGCUAAGGCCCCAAAAUCAUAGUUAAGUGGGAAACGAUGUGGGAAGGCAUAGACAGCUAGGAGGUUGGCUUAGAAGCAGCCACCCUUUAAAGAAAGCGUAAUAGCUCACUAGUCGAGUCGGCCUGCGCGGAAGAUGUAACGGGGCUAAAACUAUGUGCCGAAGCUGCGGAUGUAUACUUUGUAUACGUGGUAGGGGAGCGUUCUGUAAGCCGAUGAAGGUGUGUUGAGAAGCAUGCUGGAGGUAUCAGAAGUGCGAAUGCUGACGUGAGUAACGACAAAACGGGUGAAAAACCCGUUCGCCGAAAGACCAAGGGUUCCAGUCCAACGUUAAUCGGGGCUGGGUGAGUCGACCCCUAAGGCGAGGCCGAAAGGCGUAGUCGAUGGGAAAAUGGUUAAUAUUCCAUUACUUCUGUGUAAUGCGAUGAGAGGACGGAGAAGGCUAAAUCAGCCUGGCGUUGGUUGUCCAGGUGAAAGGAUGUAGGCAUGUAUCUUAGGCAAAUCCGGGGUACUCUAUGCUGAGAUCUGAUAGCAAGCUGUACUUGUACAGCGAAGUGGUUGAUGCCAUGCUUCCAGGAAAAGUCUCUAAGCUUCAGUUACACAGGAAUCGUACCCGAAACCGACACAGGUGGUCAGGUCGAGUAGACCAAGGCGCUUGAGAGAACUCUGCUGAAGGAACUAGGCAAAAUGGUACCGUAACUUCGGGAGAAGGUACGCUGUUGUUGGUGAUGGAACUCGCUUCCUGAGCUGACGACAGCCGCAGAAACCAGGCCGCUGCAACUGUUUAUUAAAAACAUAGCACUCUGCAAACACGAAAGUGGACGUAUAGGGUGUGAUGCCUGCCCGGUGCUGGAAGGUUAAUUGAUGGGGUUAGCGUAAGCGAAGCUCUUGAUCGAAGCCCCAGUAAACGGCGGCCGUAACUAUAACGGUCCUAAGGUAGCGAAAUUCCUUGUCGGGUAAGUUCCGACCUGCAC